GUGCCAGCCGCCGCGGUAAUACGAAGGGGGCUAGCGUUGCUCGGAUUUACUGGGCGUAAAGGGCGCGUAGGCGGACAGUUAAGUUGGGGGUGAAAGCCCGGGGCUCAACCUCGGAAUUGCCUUCAAUACUGGCUGUCUUGAGUGUGAGAGAGGUGUGUGGAACUCCGAGUGUAGAGGUGAAAUUCGUAGAUAUUCGGAAGAACACCAGUGGCGAAGGCGACACACUGGCUCACUACUGACGCUGAGGCGCGAAAGCGUGGGGAGCAAACAGGAUUAGAUACCCCUGUAGUCC
This 292-nucleotide ribosomal RNA is filed under the name uncultured bacterium. RNAcentral describes it as "partial 16S ribosomal RNA". It matches the Rfam family "Bacterial small subunit ribosomal RNA", at positions 505 to 796 of the family's 1533-position model. The record is from RNAcentral.